CGACGGCGCUGUCUUGUCUGAGUGCCCUCGGGAGAGGACGAACAUGGUUUUUAGUGCGCUACAGAGAAGGUCCGGUUGACGACACACCCAGGUGGGAGGGAAUCCCAGGGGAGAUCACUAAGGCAUGAGAAAUUGCAACACCUGCGGUGAAACGAGGAAAAUCGCUCUCCAGGGUUGUCAUCCCCUCUGGUGAAUUUUUUUUACUGUGGAAUUGGUGGAAUUGGGGGGAGGGGGCAGUUGCAUAUUUAGCAUUUAACUCUAAAUAUAUUAUAUUUUAUAUUAUUUCUGCCACUUCCUUAUUUAUUUUCUAUUUUAUAUAAACUAUAUUGAAUAAAAAUAAAUGUUUUCCAGGUGAGAUUGUCGAUUAUAGGUCAAUGACAUCUGGGAGUUUUAAAGUUGUUGAUAAUGAUUUUAAAUCAGCGGAAUAGUUCAAUUGUUUACUGAAUAUUCGAGAAAUUUGUUGAAAAAAGACGUCGAAAAUGCAGUCGUCAAAGAAAAAAAUUGUUAACAAUUAUAAAUAUCCCUAAUUAUGUAUUUUUCCCAUAAAUGUCGCACCUUCCUUUGUGUCGGUGAAUUACCUCUUCAAUUACGGGGUUUAAUUAGUCGAACCCAAAAUUACGCACUCGAAAAUUAGAACCGAAGCAAUUUCCAAUGCUCAUUAAAAAACAGAAAACGUUUUCGUUGGAUCGAACUAAAUUAAAUUGAAUUUUCAUCUCCACGACGUGAGGACAAACGUAAAAAUUAAUGAAUAGAAAUAAAAUAAUAAUUAUCCUGUGAUCUGAGCUGAUGGGGGAGAGGUAAAUCGUCAACAAUCACAACGUCAACCGUUGAAUAAUAAUUCAAUGCUUUAAGAAAGGUAAAUUCACAUACAACUGUUUAUUGAGACAUGUAGAAUACAACUUGGUUCAUACACAAAAUCUUUGACAAGUUUUUUUUUUUAAUUUUCAUGGUUUACGUUUUCAGUAAUUCUUCUCCGGGUAUUUUUCCUUCUCCACAUAAUCUAGCUACUAGCCCGGGGGGAACUCGAUUGACAAGAUUAUAAAAAAAUUUAGUUGUCAAAGGGGGUAAAAUUCUUAACAACUGUUAAAAUUUUAUUUUUCAUUAGAUUUUAUUUAGCAUCGCUCUUUCAUUUUUAUAGGUGACUAACUCAGUCAAUUUGCGUGAUUUAAUUAAUCCAACUGAUAAUUACGGGCGAAAGUGAACGGGAAAAUAAUAAGCGAAGCUAAUGUUCCCGGUGCGACUCAUGGAAAAGCAGAAGAAAAAACGUUUCAUUUAUUUAAAUAGUUGAGGAGAAAAUUGAGGCGUGCAUUGAAUUUUGAUCUCAACAACAUGAAUACCAACUUUAAAGCCAAAUAAUAAAAAAUAAAAUUGAUAAUAAUUUUAAUCAAGCCUGUCAACUCCACCAUUUAACCGCUAAAACAUAACAUCACGUUUCUUCUUCGCAAAAGAAUGCGUACUCGCAGGAAUAUAAUAUAUAAUAUAUUUAAUAUAUAGAAUUAAAAAAAGAACACUUGGUUUCACUCAUCUCAAUCAUUUAUCUGUCUCGACAUUCUCAUGUUCCAAUCGGGCCGGAGACGAGGAAAAAAAAAAGAAAAGCUGUCACAACAGUCCCGGCCCGACACAUCUUUCUCUCCUAUAUUCAAACUUCACAAUUUUGUUCUUAUUUAAUUCGCAAUGGAGAAAGGUCGGAGAGAGAAGUGGCUCUCGACGAAUGAAAAACAAAAAUUUUGAUUAAAAAUUUGCCAUUGCUGUGUACUAUCUCCCAGCUGAUGUAAGUUAGGGUCAAUUCAGCAGUAAAAAAAGGAUAAAAAUAUGUGAAUAAGGGACAAAAACACUAGUUAGGAAGGUAAAGGGCGGGCGGUAAGGGGCAUCGCCAGCCACAGUGGUGCAUUAUACGAAGUGCGACCUUUAACCCGCCGCGGGCGUCCCACUUGUCGAUGUUGUUCUUGAGUAAUGAGGAUGACAGGUGCAUGUGCGAUAAAAAUUAUGGAAACACCUGGGAAAUUUACGAAAUUGUUUAAGGAAAUUUUUCCACACUCUUUGUCCCAAAAUUCACGUUUUUCUCAUUUUUCUGGCGAAUUUAUGAUAGGAUUAACAUGAAAAACUAUAACAUUUUUACAUUUUAACAUUAUUGAACGACUCAUGAAUGUUCACAGUGCUACGAAUAUUUUCCUGCGUUUUUUUAUAAGUAAAAAAAAUACCCGAAAAUGAUUGUGCCACUUCGACAUCUCACGAACUGUUGAGUAAUAACAAAAUGCAAAAACCUUAUUUUUCUCGAAUAAAUUCGAUCGAUUGUUUGCCAGAAAAUAUUUGUUAAACCGGAAUUUGGGUUCGUCCCUUCUUCUAAGUUUUUUGCAAUUGAAUUUUUCCGGGUUUUCCACGAAUCUAUCGCACUUGAGAUGAAAUAUUAAUGAAUAUUGAUGAAUGGGAAGAGAAUGAAUGCGCAGGAGAAGAAAAACCCGAAGAAUAAUUGAAAUUUCGUUUCAAUUUUCAUUCAUCAUUUUUUUUCUCUCGUGGAACGCCCGUAAAAUGGAAAAUAACGGUCAAUUAUCAUAACGCUAUGUACCUAGAUCAGUCUAAAGUCUCGUCACCGUGAACUGCCUCAGCCACUUUGCCACUCGUGCUUCCUUGCCCCCGCAAGCCGAACAAUAUAAAUUUAGGUUUAUCGUCUAUUAAUCAGAGUCUGUUAAUUUGCCUUCUAUCAAAUAAAAUUUUGCAUUUAUUAUUAUUUCUUUUAAUUUUUUUUUGUUGAUUUCUCAUUACAAUUGCCCUCGACAAAGAUUCAAGAUUUUUUUUUCAUAAUUUUUGUUUAAAUUUUAACUUUCAUUUUUCCCUUUUUUCGUAAAUUAAUCCCUUAUAUGAUUUUUGUUAUCUUAAUUUACCUCAGGUAUUUUUCCCUCGCAUUGAUUUUUUUUUUCAUUUUAAUAAUCGUUUUCAUACGGAAAUAUUUAUCAAGUUCACAAAAACCCACUCAGUAAUUGAUUAGCAAUAGCAUCCUUAUUAUAUUGUUAAUAUUAAUAUUAUAUCCUCGAUAUUAUGCUUUUAUAAAUAGGGUAAAGGGAUUUUAAGGAUUAAAAAGUUGAAAAAAUAAAGGAUUAUUGGAGGAGGGAGAGGGGGCGGGGGUUUCAGGGGAUAGGCUAAGGGUUUUGGGAUUUUUCUCUCGGAUAAUAUAAGCUGAUUAAAUGUUAAUGAAAUAAAGAAAAUAAUAAAGAAAACAUUUUCCACGAAAAAAUUACAGAUCUUGUACAUUGAUUAUUGAAAGAAAAAAAACUUGAAGACAAAUAAUAAUUAUUAAGGCAGAGACGCAGGGGAUAUCAUAUGAUUUUUCCAUUUCUUCUUUGCGGGGGAUUAUUAAAUUCAAUUAUUAAAACUAGCUGCGAUCUAACCCCCUUCCAUAUUCACCAUCAAUCAUCCUUUCUCCUCUCAUCGGGUCUUUUUUUUUUGCUACAGCGUGAACGAAUAAUCGCGGUUGGGGGUAUAAACAAGAUUAGAGUUAAGUAAAACAUGAAUAAAAAGUAACAAAAAAAAAUGCUCAUAAAUAGAAGGGUCUGCGAGCUAUCGAUCUUUCAUAUUCAUAUUUUUAAAACCAGACAUUUUUCGUCCAAAAUCAAUUGAUCAACUAUAUUUCAUACGCAUGUGUAAUCGAAUUCAUCAUCUCUGUCUCACGAUGCAAGCCCUAGUCGCGAUUAUCUUCAUCCAUUGAUUUAUAUUUUUUUCGUCAUUGGUUAUUACUAUAAUUAUUAUUUUUUUUUUAUAAUUAUUCGUGGCCGAUUAUUUUCCUCAUUACAACGAAAAAAAAAAUUCUUUCCUCACUUGUCAAUUGUGCUGAGUUCAUUACAGAUGGUGGUCUGAUUGUAUCGGCAUUCGAUUUUUUCUUUCUUUUUUUUCCAUGGUUUUUGCCCUUUUUAAUUUUUUUUUUCGAUUUUUGUUUUUCGCUUUUUUUUUCUUAUAAAGUUCCAGUGAAAAGGGAGGCUUGGAGGUUUUCAUAUAAAUCUGAGGUGCUAGUUUAUUCUGUGACAAAACAAUGUCUGCAGCUUUUCAUACGAUUGUCAGCUAUUUCAACUCCAUUUUAAAAAUUGUCUUUCCAU
Diachasmimorpha longicaudata is the source of this 4088-nucleotide long non-coding RNA. RefSeq lists it as uncharacterized. The record is from RefSeq and is a predicted model, not a curated record. NCBI's taxonomy places the organism in Eukaryota, Metazoa, Arthropoda, Insecta, Hymenoptera, Braconidae. The transcript is spliced from 2 exons.